This 848-nucleotide ribosomal RNA is filed under the name uncultured Weissella sp. Its description in RNAcentral is "bacterial SSU rRNA". It matches the Rfam family "Bacterial small subunit ribosomal RNA", at positions 28 to 830 of the family's 1533-position model. The record is from RNAcentral. Lineage: Bacteria; Bacillati; Bacillota; Bacilli; Lactobacillales; Lactobacillaceae.
GAUGAACGCUGGCGGCGUGCCUAAUACAUGCAAGUCGAACGCAUUGUGGUUGAAAUGAUAUGAAGAACUUGUUCAGAUUUGAUUUUCAACAUUGCAAUGAGUGGCGAACGGGUGAGUAACACGUGGGAAACCUACCUCUUAGCAGGGGAUAACAUUUGGAAACAAAUGCUAAUACCGUAUAAUAAUUAAAACCGCAUGGUUUUAGUUUAAAAGAUGGUCUUGCUAUCACUAAGAGAUGGUCCCGCGGUGUAUUAGUUAGUUGGUGAGGUAAUGGCUCACCAAGACAAUGAUACAUAGCCGAGUUGAGAGACUGACCGGCCACAAUGGGACUGAGACACGGCCCAUACUCCUACGGGAGGCAGCAGUAGGGAAUCUUCCACAAUGGACGAAAGUCUGAUGGAGCAACGCCGCGUGUGUGAUGAAGGGUUUCGGCUCGUAAAACACUGUUGUAAGAGAAGAAUGACAUUGAGAGUAACUGUUCAAUGUGUGACGGUAUCUUACCAGAAAGGAACGGCUAAAUACGUGCCAGCAGCCGCGGUAAUACGUAUGUUCCAAGCGUUAUCCGGAUUUAUUGGGCGUAAAGCGAGCGCAGACGGUUAUUUAAGUCUGAAGUGAAAGCCCUCGGCUCAACCGAGGAAUUGCUUUGGAAACUGGAUAACUUGAGUGCAGUAGAGGAAAGUGGAACUCCAUGUGUAGCGGUGAAAUGCGUAGAUAUAUGGAAGAACACCAGUGGCGAAGGCGGCUUUCUGGACUGUAACUGACGUUGAGGCUCGAAAGUGUGGGUAGCAAACAGGAUUAGAUACCCUGGUAGUCCACACUGUAAACGAUGAGUGCUAGUUGUUCGAGGG